AUUGAACGCUGGCGGCAUGCUUUACACAUGCAAGUCGAACGGCAGCGCGGGCUUCGGCCUGGCGGCGAGUGGCGAACGGGUGAGUAAUGCAUCAGAACGUGCCCAGUAGUGGGGGAUAGCCCGGCGAAAACCGGAUUAAUACCGCAUACGACCUGUGGGUGAAAGCGGGGGACCGAAAAGCCUCGCGCUCUUUGAGCGGCCGAUGUCGGAUUAGCUAGUUGGUGGGGUAAAGGCCUACCCAGGCGACGGUCCGUAGCUGGUCUGAGAGGACGACCAGCCACACUGGGACUGAGACACGGCCCAGACUCCUACGGGAGGCAGCAGUGGGGAAUUUUGGACAAUGGGGGCAAACCUGAUCCAGCCAUGCCGCGUGCGGGAAGAAGGCCUUCGGGUUGUAAAACGCUUUUGUUCGGGAAGAAAUCCUCUGGGCUAAUACCCCGGGGGGAUGACGGUACCGGAAGAAUAAGCACCGGCUAACUACGUG
This 484-nucleotide ribosomal RNA is filed under the name uncultured bacterium. Its description in RNAcentral is "partial 16S ribosomal RNA". It matches the Rfam family "Bacterial small subunit ribosomal RNA", at positions 29 to 507 of the family's 1533-position model. The record is from RNAcentral.